GCUGGGUGUGGUGAUGCACACCUGUAGUCUCAGCUACUCGGGAAGCUGAGGUAGGAGGAUCACUUGAGCCCAGGAGGUGGAGGUUGCAGUGAGCCAAGAUCAGGCCACUGCACUCCAGCCUGGGCAACAGAGUGAGACUCCAUCUCAA
This 148-nucleotide signal recognition particle RNA is filed under the name Nomascus leucogenys (northern white-cheeked gibbon). Its description in RNAcentral is "Metazoan signal recognition particle RNA". It matches the Rfam family "Metazoan signal recognition particle RNA". Rfam says of the family: The signal recognition particle (SRP) is a universally conserved ribonucleoprotein. It is involved in the co-translational targeting of proteins to membranes. The eukaryotic SRP consists of a 300-nucleotide 7S RNA and six proteins: SRPs 72, 68, 54, 19, 14, and 9. The record is from Rfam by way of RNAcentral. Lineage: Eukaryota; Metazoa; Chordata; Mammalia; Primates; Hylobatidae.